This is a long non-coding RNA of Brassica napus (rape), 1310 nucleotides long. RefSeq lists it as uncharacterized. The record is from RefSeq and is a predicted model, not a curated record. NCBI's taxonomy places the organism in Eukaryota, Viridiplantae, Streptophyta, Magnoliopsida, Brassicales, Brassicaceae. The transcript is spliced from 4 exons.
UCCUACUUUUUGCAUUUUUUAUCAUUUUAUUUAUUUAGAACCUUUGUUCUCGUACUAACGUUGGAGUUGGCCUCAGAGCAUGAUUCAUGGGAGAGAUCCAUUUGGGCUUCUUAAAGACGUCUCUUAUAAGACAGGUGUUCCCCUUCCGCAACUUCUCUCCUUCUUCAGCGAUGGCGAUGUUGCUCUCUUGGGUUUGAAGGCGGAGCUUGGCUCUCUCGAUUGGGGCCACGAUCGUGUGGACGACGCCUCCCAUCACCGCUCCGGCGAGUAGGUCUCUGUGGAAAUGUUUGAGGGUCUGUGGAAGAGAUGAUUGGUUCCUUCUGUUUCUUCGAUCUUCUUCGUCGCCGCCAUUGGCGAGCAUAAAGAUUGAAACUUUGGUGGAAUUUCGAAGUGGGUCGGUUUCUAUUUUGAUCUUUGUGUCUCAUGUUUUCUUCUUACUCUUCUUCUUCUUCAAAUCUCGCGUGUCUGUCUCGUCUCAAUCACAAAUCAUCCUCGAGACUACAGACCAAGCUUCUCCGUUCCGACCAAAACCAUGAACACUUGUAAAGCCAAACCAUGGAAGAAUCUCGGUCUUGUCAUCAACUCUAGAAGGCAAGAACAAUGUGUGUUUAUGUAUCCAUAUAGUGGAAAGUUGGAGAUUUGGUCAUUCUCAUUAACGUAUGGGAUGCUUUUGAAGCAUAUGAGUUUUGAUUAUGUCAAGCUUCGGGUUGUGUGUGUUGCGAUUGAUACAUAGCUUUUCUUUGGGAGCAGCAUUCAGUUCUCCGACGUUUCCCAUGAUCAGUUCUCCGAUGUCUCCGACAUAACCAUGUCAUUGCCAAGUUAGCUACUGAUCAGAGUGGAUUACAACGUUGUAAGAUAUCUCUAGUUGAUGCCAUGGGAACAAGAUUUACAAAGGAUGUGAAAAUUGUGGGUCUUGAUCCAGACAAUGAUCUUGCUGUUCUGAAGUGAUCUAUGCGUAGGCCAGAGUUGCUUAACUUGCUUGUUGAGCUUGAAGCUCUGGAGAAUCAUCUCAAGGCUCAUGACGGUCACUACAAAAGUUGGUCUGUCCUCGAGAGCUUGCCUCAUGUUCAUGGCUACAUGAACGCUUUGUUCUGUCUUGACUCCUUUGAGAAAACAAAGACCGAGGAGAGGUAUGUGAUCGCAGGAUGGGCUCACAAGGUUAACCCCUAUAACUACUACUAGUUCCAUCUGUUGUGUGUGAUGAUGAUGUGGUUCAAUGUCUAUCUUCUCUAUCAGUAGAAUAAUGUUGCUGGACCUGUUAUGUUUGUUAUUGUAUCUGCCCCAAGUGAAAAGAAAGACUUUUAGUCAUA